CAAUAGCGUAUAUUAAAGUUGUUGCAGUUAAAAAGCUCGUAGUUGGAUUUCUGGUGGGAGCGAUCGGUCUGGCGCUUAGCGCGAGUACUUGCAUCGUCUCCGGCCAUCCUUGGGGAGAGUCUGUCUGGCAUUAGGUUGUCGGGCAGAGGAUCCUCAUCGUUUACUGUGAAAAAAUUAGAGUGUUCAAAGCAGGCUUAUGCCGUUGAAUAUAUUAGCGUGGAAUAAUAAGAUAGGACUUUGGUACUAUUUUGUUGGUUUGCGCACCAAAGUAAUGAUUAAUAGGGACAGUUGGGGGUAUUCGUAUUCCGUUGUCAGAGGUGAAAUUCUUGGAUCUACGGAAGACGAACUACUGCGAAAGCAUUUACCAAGGAUGUUUUCAUUAA
This 383-nucleotide ribosomal RNA is filed under the name uncultured eukaryote. Its description in RNAcentral is "partial 18S ribosomal RNA". It matches the Rfam family "Eukaryotic small subunit ribosomal RNA", at positions 592 to 976 of the family's 1831-position model. The record is from RNAcentral.